AAUAAGUGCAGUUCUGCAUUGUUCGUAUUCAACGUUUGGCCGUUCAUCUUAAUUGAUUUUUUUAUUGAUUAGCAUUUUUGUUGUUAUUACAUGAUAAAACAUGAACAAUACUUUAUGUGUGACUUUUUUUUUUAUUUUCUCAUAAAUUUUUUAAAUAAGACAGAUGGUCAAACGUUGGACACGUAUAUCCACGGCUGCACUUAUU
This is a non-coding RNA of Oryza barthii, 205 nucleotides long. The record is from Rfam. Lineage: Eukaryota; Viridiplantae; Streptophyta; Magnoliopsida; Poales; Poaceae.